UACGUAGGUGGCAAGCGUUAUCCGGAAUUAUUGGGCGUAAAGCGCGCGCAGGUGGUUUCUUAAGUCUGAUGUGAAAGCCCACGGCUCAACCGUGGAGGGUCAUUGGAAACUGGGAGACUUGAGUGCAGAAGAGGAAAGUGGAAUUCCAUGUGUAGCGGUGAAAUGCGUAGAGAUAUGGAGGAACACCAGUGGCGAAGGCGACUUUCUGGUCUGUAACUGACACUGAGGCGCGAAGGCCAGGGGAGCAAACGGG
This 253-nucleotide ribosomal RNA is filed under the name uncultured bacterium. RNAcentral's name for it is "partial 16S ribosomal RNA". It matches the Rfam family "Bacterial small subunit ribosomal RNA", at positions 524 to 776 of the family's 1533-position model. The record is from RNAcentral.